CUCGUAGCAAUACGGGAGUGGCAGACGGGUGCGUAACGCGUGGGAACCUGCCCAGAGGUUCGGAAUAACUGCGGGAAACUGCAGCUAAUACCGAAUGUUGCCUGAGGGCUAAAGGAGUAAUUCGCCUUUGGAGGGGCCCGCGUCCGAUUAGCUAGUUGGUGGGGUAACGGCCUACCAAGGCGACGAUCGGUAGCUGGUCUGAGAGGAUGACCAGCCACACUGGAACUGAGACACGGUCCAGACUCCUACGGGAGGCAGCAGUGGGGAAUAUUGGACAAUGGGGGAAACCCUGAUCCAGCAAUGCCGCGUGGGUGAUGAAGGCCUUCGGGUUGUAAAGCCCUUUUGGCGGGGACGAUGAUGACGGUACCCGCAGAAUAAGCCCCGGCUAACUUUCGUGCCAGCAGCCGCGGUAAUACGAAGGGGGCUAGCGUUGUUUCGGAAUUUACUGGGCGUAAAGGGCGCGUAAGCGGCUUCCAUAGUCAGGCGUGAAAAGGCCUGGG
Molecule: ribosomal RNA, 500 nt
Filed under: uncultured bacterium
Lineage: Bacteria
Description: bacterial SSU rRNA
Rfam family: Bacterial small subunit ribosomal RNA
Source: RNAcentral